This 215-nucleotide long non-coding RNA is filed under the name Carica papaya (papaya). RNAcentral describes it as "long non-coding RNA (CPAP_LNC008303)". Lineage: Eukaryota; Viridiplantae; Streptophyta; Magnoliopsida; Brassicales; Caricaceae. The record is from RNAcentral.
UUCUUUCCAUGAAUAGACUUCUUGCAACAUUAGCAUAGCUGCCACUGUCAAUAAUCAUUUCACAUACCUUAUCAUUGACAAGACAUCGUGUGUGGAAAAUGUUCUUCCUCUGCUCGUUGUCUUCACUCCUAACUUGCAUGUUGAGACUCUUCAGACAACAAGGACAUUACUCCUAAGUGGAGUAUCUUCAAUGGAUUGAGACGUAGUGUAGUACU